Molecule: ribosomal RNA, 253 nt
Filed under: uncultured bacterium
Lineage: Bacteria
Description: partial 16S ribosomal RNA
Rfam family: Bacterial small subunit ribosomal RNA
Source: RNAcentral
UACGAAGGGGACUAGCGUUGUUCGGAAUCACUGGGCGUAAAGCGCACGUAGGCGGAUAUGUCAGUCAGGGGUGAAAUCCCGGGGCUCAACCUCGGAACUGCCCUUGAUACAGCAUGUCUUGAGUCCGAUAGAGGUGGGUGGAAUUCCUAGUGUAGAGGUGAAAUUCGUAGAUAUUAGGAAGAACACCGGUGGCGAAGGCGGCCCACUGGAUCGGUACUGACGCUGAGGUGCGAAAGCGUGGGGAGCAAACAGG